RNAcentral lists this ribosomal RNA (432 nucleotides) under uncultured bacterium. RNAcentral describes it as "partial 16S ribosomal RNA". It matches the Rfam family "Bacterial small subunit ribosomal RNA", at positions 29 to 506 of the family's 1533-position model. The record is from RNAcentral.
AACGAACGCUGGCGGCAUGCCUAACACAUGCAAGUCGAACGAGACCUUCGGGUCUAGUGGCGCACGGGUGCGUAACGCGUGGGAACCUGCCCUUAGGUUCGGAAUAACUCCCCGAAAGGGGUGCUAAUACCGGAUAAUGUCUUCGGACCAAAGAUUUAUCGCCUUUGGAUGGGCCCGCGUUGGAUUAGCUAGUUGGUAGGGUAAAAGCCUACCAAGGCGACGAUCCAUAGCUGGUCUGAGAGGAUGAUCAGCCACACUGGGACUGAGACACGGCCCAGACUCCUGGGGGAGGCAGGAGGGGGGAAAUUUGGACAAGGGGCGAAAGCCUGAUCCACCAAGGCCGGGGGAGUGAUGAAGGCCUUGGGGUUGAAAGGCUUUUUUCCCCGGGAUGAAAAUGACGGUACCGGGAAAAAAAGCCCCGGCAAACUCCGG